Molecule: non-coding RNA, 553 nt
Organism: Arachis ipaensis
Lineage: Eukaryota; Viridiplantae; Streptophyta; Magnoliopsida; Fabales; Fabaceae
Source: RefSeq, a predicted model, not a curated record
ACCUUUUGAUGUGAUGAUGAUAAGUAGGUAUAUGAUUGUUGACUAGAUUUGAAUGCAAUGGAUUUGUAGCUUAUUGUUGACUAUAGUCUUACACACUGUCAGCUUAUUGUAAUGAUACAUGAGUAUAGACAAAAUUUGUUGGGAAAAAAAAUAGAAAAGAAAAGUUUUACAGGUUGCUGGAUAUAGCUUAACUGUAAAGGAACUUAAGGGACGUUGUAAAACAACAAAGUGAUUAAUGUAAAAUGAUGGAGCUUAUAUCUAAAGUUCAAAAUCCAUUUAUAGUGGAGCAUAAAGAUUCAUGGGUAGAAAGGGUCAAUCUUUUCUUGACAAUCAGAACUUUCAUUAUAUAUGUUUGGUAGAUUUACUAACAGAGUUAUUCAUAUUCUUCCUUGCAGGGUUAUUUUGUAUCUAUUGUCUUAAGUUACUAUGAAGGGGGGAUAUGGUUGAGGCUAUAAAAAAGACAAAUGGUGUUCAUUUUCCUAAAGAGGAUGCCUGUUCGAAAAUUACAAGGAGAUUGCAGCUUUUCAAAUUGAGAAGGAUUCUUCAGUAAUAA